AUACUUGCCUGGCAGGGGAGAUACCAUGAUCAGGAGGGUGGUUUUCCCAGGGCGAGGCUCAUGCACUGCACUCCGGAUGUGCUGACCCUGUGAUUUCCCCAAAUGCGGGGAACGCGACUGCAUAAUUCAUGGUAGUGGGGCACUGCGCUUGCAUAUUCCCUGA
Molecule: small nuclear RNA, 163 nt
Filed under: Propithecus coquereli (Coquerel's sifaka)
Lineage: Eukaryota; Metazoa; Chordata; Mammalia; Primates; Indriidae
Description: U1 spliceosomal RNA (ENSPCOG00000000276.1)
Rfam family: U1 spliceosomal RNA
About the family: U1 is a small nuclear RNA (snRNA) component of the spliceosome (involved in pre-mRNA splicing). Its 5' end forms complementary base pairs with the 5' splice junction, thus defining the 5' donor site of an intron.
Source: Rfam by way of RNAcentral